ACCUUAAUUCUCUUUCCCAUCUUGCAAGAUGGCGGGUGAAAAAGUUGAGAAGCCAGAUACUAAAGAGAAGAAACCCGAAGCCAAGAAGGUUGAUGCUGGUGGCAAGGUGAAAAAGGGUAACCUCAAAGCUAAAAAGCCCAAGAAGGGGAAGCCCCAUUGCAGCCGCAACCCUGUCCUUGUCAGAGGAAUUGGCAGGUAUUCCCGAUCUGCCAUGUAUUCCAGAAAGGCCAUGUACAAGAGGAAGUACUCAGCCGCUAAAUCCAAGGUUGAAAAGAAAAAGAAGGAGAAGGUUCUCGCAACUGUUACAAAACCAGUUGGUGGUGACAAGAACGGCGGUACCCGGGUGGUUAAACUUCGCAAAAUGGUAAGAUGUGGGGACUGUAAAUUGGAUUUUCUGUUUAUGCUUGAAUACUGUGAAGAUGUUUUUGAAUACUUAGAUACUGUAAGUUUCUGCAUACCGGAGAAUUUCUGAUAGAAAAUAAAGGGCUCUGGGUUUGUAACUUGGCUUCAACAUUUACUGUUAAUCUUAAGUAAUUUAAAUUACUCGUCUGUGCUUUGUUCCUUUGCAUAUAAUAUGGGAAUG
RNAcentral lists this long non-coding RNA (583 nucleotides) under Homo sapiens (human). Its description in RNAcentral is "non-protein coding lnc-HECTD4-1:2". The record is from RNAcentral. Lineage: Eukaryota; Metazoa; Chordata; Mammalia; Primates; Hominidae.